This 497-nucleotide ribosomal RNA is filed under the name uncultured bacterium. RNAcentral's name for it is "partial 16S ribosomal RNA". It matches the Rfam family "Bacterial small subunit ribosomal RNA", at positions 28 to 507 of the family's 1533-position model. The record is from RNAcentral.
GAUGAACGCUGGCGGCGUGCCUAAUACAUGCAAGUCGAGCGAACAGACGAGGAUCUUGCUCCUCUGACGUUAGCGGCGGACGGGUAAGUAACACGUGGAUAACCUUCCUAUAAGACUUGGAUACCUUCAAGAAACCGGAGUUAAUACCAGAUAAUAUAUUGAACCGCAUGGUUCUAGAGAGAAAGACGGUUUUGCGGUCACUUAUCGAUGGAUCCGCGCCUCAGUAGCGGAUUGGUAAGGUAACGGCUUACCAAGGAAACGGUGGGUAACCGACGUCAGAGGGGGUAGGGCAACACUGGAACUGAGACGCGGUCCAGAGUCCUAGGGGCGGCCGCAGCAGGGAAUCUACGGAAAUGUGGGGAAGCUUGAAGGAGCAACGGCGGGUGGGUGAUGAAGGUCUUCGGAUCGUAAAACUCUGUUAUGAGGGAAGACCAAAUGUGUAAGUAACUAUGCACGGUUUGACGGUACCUAAUCAGAAAGCCACGGCUAACUACGUG